This 61-nucleotide transfer RNA is filed under the name Camelus bactrianus (Bactrian camel). It matches the Rfam family "tRNA". Rfam says of the family: Transfer RNA (tRNA) molecules are approximately 80 nucleotides in length. Their secondary structure includes four short double-helical elements and three loops (D, anti-codon, and T loops). Further hydrogen bonds mediate the characteristic L-shaped molecular structure. tRNAs have two regions of fundamental functional importance: the anti-codon, which is responsible for specific mRNA codon recognition, and the 3' end, to which the tRNAs corresponding amino acid is attached (by aminoacyl-tRNA synthetases). tRNAs cope with the degeneracy of the genetic code in two manners: having more than one tRNA (with a specific anti-codon) for a particular amino acid; and 'wobble' base-pairing, i.e. permitting non-standard base-pairing at the 3rd anti-codon position. RNAcentral also lists the same sequence under 2 other names. The record is from Rfam by way of RNAcentral. Lineage: Eukaryota; Metazoa; Chordata; Mammalia; Artiodactyla; Camelidae.
GAGGGUAUAGCUCAGUGGUAGAGUGCCUGCUUAGCAUGCAGGAGGCCCUGUUCUAUCCCCA